Molecule: RNase P RNA, 349 nt
Filed under: Candidatus Omnitrophota bacterium
Lineage: Bacteria; Pseudomonadati; Candidatus Omnitrophota
Description: RNase P RNA component class A
Rfam family: Bacterial RNase P class A
About the family: Ribonuclease P (RNase P) is a ubiquitous endoribonuclease, found in archaea, bacteria and eukarya as well as chloroplasts and mitochondria.
Source: RNAcentral
UUAGCAGGCCGGAUGGUCGCCUCAUCCGCAAGGGUGGGGAGGAAAGUCCGAGCUCCAAAGAGCAGCGUAGCGGCUAAUGGCCGCCCGUCGUGAGACGAGGAUAUAGAGCCACAGAGACGAGACCUGAACCUUCGGGUUCAGGGGGUGAAACGAGGCAAUCUCUACGCGGAGCAAGAUCAAAUAGGUCCCGAUCUAAGGGUUGCUCGCCCUUACUGUACAUACGUCAGUAUCGGGACGGGUAAGGUCGCUCGAUCGCCGGAGCAAUCCGGCGGCUAGAUAGAUGACCAUCUCGUCACGCGUCGAAAGGUGCGUGGCAAGACAAAACUCGGCUUACAGGCCUGCUAAAAUA